UGGGGAAUAUUGCACAAUGGAGGGAACUCUGAUGCAGCGACGCCGCGUGAACGAAGAAGGCUUUCGAGUCGUAAAGUUUUUUUAUAUGGGAAGAUAAUGACGGUACCAUAAGAAAAAGCCCCGGCUAACUACGUGCCAGCAGCCGCGGUAAUACGUAGGGGGCUAGCGUUGUCCGGAAUCACUGGGCGUAAAGGGUUCGCAGGCGGAAAUGCAAGUCAGGUGUAAAAGGCAGUAGCUUAACUACUGUAAGCAUUUGAAACUGCAUAUCUUGGGAAGAGUAGAGGUAAGUGGAAUUUUUAGUGUAGCGGUGAAAUGCGUAGAUAUUAAAAAGAAUACCGGUGGCGAAGGCGACUUACUGGGCUCAUUCUGACGCUGAGGAACGAAAGCGUGGGUAGCAAAGAGG
RNAcentral lists this ribosomal RNA (403 nucleotides) under Verrucomicrobiota bacterium. RNAcentral describes it as "Verrucomicrobia bacterium partial 16S ribosomal RNA". It matches the Rfam family "Bacterial small subunit ribosomal RNA", at positions 355 to 776 of the family's 1533-position model. The record is from RNAcentral. Lineage: Bacteria; Pseudomonadati; Verrucomicrobiota.